AAUAUGCUUGCGCCAGAAAUUAUAGCUUGAGUUCAACAAAAUGGAUUAUAACGUUGCGGAUAUAGUAAUGUGUGACACAAUUUUGUGCAUACAACAUCUAAAGACCUGCACCACGAUAUUGAGAGCUUUUCUGUUUGCAAAAGGAUGUGUUUGGUUGGUUUAUGAGCAUUUGUUCAUGUUUUUGGAUGCCCUGAAACUCCAGAAUGAGGCUAAGGUAGUCAACUGCUGGUGAGCAAAAAAUGACAAGAUACUGCAACUCAUCAUGGCUCCGGUUCCUUCGCCAGCAUUGCGGGCGAGCUCUGAGCAACAGACAACCCACUCCAGCAUGGACGCUGCUACUGCUUCUCAAUGGGUCCCAGCUUACCCUCAAGAUCAUUGGCCUCUGCUGCUUACGAACAGAGAUUGUGGAAGCCUAGAUGAGUUACUGCAGUAAUUGCUAAUCGUGUCAUUACUCUAAGGGUCAAAUAGCUACAUCGCUUCUCUUUUGCUGCAUUGCAAUACUACUAUAUACAGUACCAGUCAAAAGUUUGGACACAUCUACUCAUUCCAGGGUUUUUCUUUAUUUUUACUAUUUUAGUGAAGACAUCAAAACCAGGAUAUAACACAUAUGGAAUCACGUAGCAACCAAAAAAAGUGUUAAACAGAUCAAAAUACAUUCUAGAUUGCCUUGACGACAGCUUUGCACACUCUUGGCAUUCUCUCAACCAGCAUUACUGCUACUGCAAUGAAGCAAUAAGGCCCGAGGGGGGUGUGGUAUAUGUCCAACAAGCCGACACGUGGUUUUCUGAGAAGCUAUCUCGGUAUGGUAUGCCUGCUGUAGCUUACACAUAGUUUAUCCUUCAUGUCACACAUAUGCAGUAUCAAUCAUAUUAUAUAGAUUACGUAGGUGAUCUUAAAGCCCUUAAUGGCGUGCGUCUGCCGUACACAAAGUUCAUUGUCUGUUUUGGGGAUUGGUAUAGCAUACCUUGAUAUCUGCCUGUUAUUAUUAUAACUUACAUGAUGAUCUCACAUGUAUGCUCUUGCAGUGAGCUGCCCUGAAGGAGCAGAGGUGAGUGCCACUGCUAAUGUCGCUGCAUGUAUUGUCAUCUUCUAAUAAAUGGUUUCCUGUCUGAAAUAAAGCGUAAAAGGUU
Molecule: long non-coding RNA, 1130 nt
Organism: Salmo salar (Atlantic salmon)
Lineage: Eukaryota; Metazoa; Chordata; Actinopteri; Salmoniformes; Salmonidae
Source: RefSeq, a predicted model, not a curated record